Molecule: ribosomal RNA, 189 nt
Filed under: uncultured bacterium
Lineage: Bacteria
Description: partial 16S ribosomal RNA
Rfam family: Bacterial small subunit ribosomal RNA
Source: RNAcentral
UCGACUACAUGAAGCUGGAAUCGCUAGUAAUCGCGAAUCAGAAUGUCGCGGUGAAUACGUUCCCGGGUCUUGUACACACCGCCCGUCACACCAUGGGAGUCGGAAAUGCCCGAAGCCGGUGACUCAACCGCAAGGAGAGAGCCGUCGAAGGCAGGUCUGAUAACUGGGGUGAAGUCGUAACAAGGUACC